AUUUUGGAGAGUUUGAUCCUGGCUCAGGACGAACGCUGGCGGCGUGCCUAAUACAUGCAAGUCGAGCGAAGUUUAAGAGAUGCUUGCAUCACUUGAACUUAGCGGCGAACGGGUGAGUAACACGUAAAGAACCUGCCUCAUAGACUGGGACAACUACUGGAAACGGUAGCUAAUACCGGAUAAUAUAUUUCUUUGCAUGAAGGAAUAUUGAAAGUCGGUCAAGCUGACACUAUGAGAUGGCUUUGCGGUGCAUUAGCUAGUUGGUAGGGUAAAGGCCUACCAAGGCGACGAUGCAUAGCCGACCUGAGAGGGUGAUCGGCCACACUGGGACUGAGACACGGCCCAGACUCCUACGGGAGGCAGCAGUAGGGAAUCUUCCGCAAUGGACGAAAGUCUGACGGAGCAACGCCGCGUGAGUGAAGAAGGAUUUCGGUUUGUAAAACUCUGUUGUUAGGGAAGAAUGAUUGUAUAGUAACUAUAUACAGUA
This 487-nucleotide ribosomal RNA is filed under the name Gemella sp. GL1. Its description in RNAcentral is "bacterial SSU rRNA". It matches the Rfam family "Bacterial small subunit ribosomal RNA", at positions 1 to 477 of the family's 1533-position model. RNAcentral also lists the same sequence under 1 other name. The record is from RNAcentral. Lineage: Bacteria; Bacillati; Bacillota; Bacilli; Caryophanales; Gemellaceae.